RNAcentral lists this RNase P RNA (325 nucleotides) under Helicobacteraceae bacterium. RNAcentral's name for it is "RNase P RNA component class A". It matches the Rfam family "Bacterial RNase P class A". Rfam says of the family: Ribonuclease P (RNase P) is a ubiquitous endoribonuclease, found in archaea, bacteria and eukarya as well as chloroplasts and mitochondria. Its best characterised activity is the generation of mature 5'-ends of tRNAs by cleaving the 5'-leader elements of precursor-tRNAs. Cellular RNase Ps are ribonucleoproteins. Lineage: Bacteria; Pseudomonadati; Campylobacterota; Epsilonproteobacteria; Campylobacterales; Helicobacteraceae. The record is from RNAcentral.
GCGGCGCAACAGAUGACGGCGCGUUUUGCGUGAGGAAAGUCCGGGCUGCUGCCAGACAAAGUUCCGCCUAACAGGCGGCUAGGGCAACCUAAGGGAAAGUGCAACAGAAAGCAAACCGCCGAUUUUUCGGUAAGGGUGAAACGGAAGUGUAAGAGACUACCGUCGCUCUCGGCAACGGGAGCGGACAUGUAAACCCAACUUGCAGCAAGAAGCGCCUGGUUAGAGUUUGGCAUUUUUUGAGCGCUUUGCAUGAACCGUUCAGUGAUGAGCGGACAAGAGAAAUCGUCAUUCGCGACAGAACCCGGCUUAUCGUUGCGCCGCAAAU